GACGAACGCUGGCGGCGUGCUUAACACAUGCAAGUCGAACGGAAAGGCCCCCUUGUGGGGUACUCGAGUGGCGAACGGGUGAGUAACACGUGAGUAACCUACCCUUGACUUUGGGAUAACUUCAGGAAACUGGGGCUAAUACCGGAUAGGAGCUCCUGCUGCAUGGUGGGGGUUGGAAAGUUUCGGCGGUUGGGGAUGGACUCGCGGCUUAUCAGCUUGUUGGUGGGGUAGUGGCUCACCAAGGCUUUGACGGGUAGCCGGCCUGAGAGGGUGACCGGCCACAAUGGGACUGAGAGACGGCCCAGACUCCUACGGGAGGCAGCAGUGGGGAAUAUUGCACAAUGGGCGGACGCCUGAUGCAGCAACGCCGCGUGCGGGAUGACGGCCUUCGGGUUGUAAACCGCUUUCGCCUGUGACGAAGCGUGAGUGACGGUAAUGAGUAAAGAAGCACCGGCUAACUACGUG
Molecule: ribosomal RNA, 465 nt
Filed under: uncultured bacterium
Lineage: Bacteria
Description: partial 16S ribosomal RNA
Rfam family: Bacterial small subunit ribosomal RNA
Source: RNAcentral